CAUGAAAUGAGCUUUGAACUUGCUGUGGAAAGAUCUGGGGCUCUAUUCAGGAAUGUUGUUGCUGUUACAUGAACGAGAGGCCACUUAAAAUAGCUCAGGGAAAAUGAGCUUGGUGGUGAGGACAGCAGGCUCUCGCAGGAAUGGAACAGGACCUGAAACACACCUAUAUUUGCUCUGGAAUGGAAGUCAACCUCCGGCGUAAACUAGAAUCCUUCAAGAGCCAGGUGAGGAUACAGGCAGAAGGGGUGACCCAGAAGAGAACUCCUGCCAGAACCCAAACAUGCUGACACCCUGACCUCAGACUUCCAGCCUUCAGAACUUUCCGGAGGCUAUAAAUCCAAAACCAUGCUGUCAGCAGGACCACGUUCUCUCGGAAGGCUCUACAAAGAAUCCGUCCUUGCCUCUUAGAGCUUCUGGCGGCUGUCGACAAUGCUUGGCAUUCCUUGGCUUGUACAUGCAUCACUCCAAUCUCUGCCUCUGUCUUCACAUGGCCGUCUUCCCACUGUGUCUCUGUCUAUCUCAGUGUUUCUUCUCCUCUUCUUAUAAGGAUACCUGUCAUAUUGGGUUUAGAUCCACCUCACUCCAAUAAGACCUAAUUUUAAUUAAUUAUACGUGCAAAGAGCCUAUUUCCAAAGAAAGCCCCAUUCACAGGAAAAGCAGAGCGGGGGAAAUGGGUGGCGUCUUGGUGCUACGGCUGCUUCCAGUUCUUAGUUUGUCGUCUUUAGCCUGGAAAAGAAGAGACUUCACGAGAACAUGACAAGGUGGUCACAUCCCUAAUGGGCUGUCGCGUAGUGGGAGGUGGAUCGCGCACACGCUACGUAACUCCAGGCAGAACUUCGAUGAAUCAGAAAGGUGUUCUCGAAGCAUGGAAAGAAAGACAUUUCUACACUGUCACAGAUCUCUGGGUGGACACAGGGCAUCAUGGGCCUCCCGAUACUCUUCCAACAGCUGACUCUCUCAGCUGCCACUGAUAGACACCCAACUCACACUGAUGAAACAAAAAAGAAAAUUUGCUUAUUCACCGAACUGGAAAAUCCAGGGCCCUUCAGCCUUCAGAUUAUAACUGGAUCCAGGGGCUCAAAUAUGCGCACCCCAGAGAAGGAUGGUGCAUCCCCAGACAAUCUGUGUGGACAAAGAAAGCUAUGGUUCCCCAAGGGCAAAGGCUGCAAGAAUAAUGGAUAAAGCAUUGAGGAGAGGUGGCCUUGGGUCUCUAACUUAACUGAGCAUAAUCAUCAUCUGGAAAGACAGUGAUGGACACAAAUAUGUGGGCCCUCCCUUCAGGCAUUCUAAUUCAUUGAUCUUAGAAUCCCAAUGGAGAAUUUGCAUUUUUAGCGAGUGUCCUUUCUUGUUUUAUAGAACUGUUUGAGUGUUAAAUGAGAUAAUUUAUGUGAGACUCCUUUGUUAAAUGUCAUGGAAAUGUUAACAAUCAUUCAUCUAGUCUACAGUGAAUUUGCCAAAGUCAACUAUAUGUGAAUUUGCCAGUAUCAUGGAAAACAUCAGUGGCAGAGCCAAGGGGCGGGUCUCCAGAGCUUCAAGCCAGAGUUCUUUCCAGUGCUCUAUACAAUACCGUGCUG
Molecule: long non-coding RNA, 1574 nt
Filed under: Equus caballus (horse)
Lineage: Eukaryota; Metazoa; Chordata; Mammalia; Perissodactyla; Equidae
Description: lncRNA (ENSECAG00000057275.1)
Source: RNAcentral